Molecule: ribosomal RNA, 497 nt
Filed under: uncultured bacterium
Lineage: Bacteria
Description: partial 16S ribosomal RNA
Rfam family: Bacterial small subunit ribosomal RNA
Source: RNAcentral
GAUGAACGCUGGCGGCGUGCCUAAUACAUGCAAGUCGAGCGAACGGACGAGAAGCUUGCUUCUCUGAUGUUAGCGGCGGACGGGUGAGUAACACGUGGAUAACCUACCUAUAAGACUGGGAUAACUUCGGGAAACCGGAGCUAAUACCGGAUGAUAUUUUGAACCGCAUGGUUCAAAAGUGAAAGACGGUCUUGCUGUCACUUAUAGAUGGAUCCGCGCUGCAUUAGCUAGUUGGUAAGGUAACGGCUUACCAAGGCAACGAUGCAUAGCCGACCUGAGGGGGGGAUCGGCCACACUGGAACUGAGACACGGGCCAGACUCCUACGGGAGGCAGCAGUAGGGAAUCUUCCGGAAUGGGCGAAAGCCUGACGGAGCAACGCCGCGUGAGUGAUGAAGGUCUUCCGAUCGUAAAACUCUGUUAUUAGGGAAGAACAUAUGUGUAAGUAAAUGUGCACAUCUUGACGGUACCUAAUCAGAAAGCCACGGCUAACUACGUG